RNA transcript from Scylla paramamosain (green mud crab), 2783 nucleotides. It is a transcript of the gene named knob-associated histidine-rich protein-like, with no coding region annotated. NCBI's taxonomy places the organism in Eukaryota, Metazoa, Arthropoda, Malacostraca, Decapoda, Portunidae. The record is from RefSeq and is a predicted model, not a curated record. The transcript has 6 exons.
GCCACCAAGAUCAAGAGUUGUAAGGGGGAGGAGGGAAAGUGAGUGUGGGUGUUGGUGACAGGAAACACUAUACACUGGUGGCUGUCAUCAAUAUGUGAGUCCCUCCGUGCCUGGGUAACUAAUACCUGUGAAUCUCAACGUGAAUACAUCCCGCACACCAGAAGUGCCUUUCUAAUGGUGUACUAGAACCCAAUAUGGAUGCCACAGAAGCUGCAUCUUCCAAGGGGGGCAUCCCUCUCUUGUACCCCUCCACACCCUUCGCCAUACGUCCAGGCCUGUAUAUGUACCCACCAAAUCCACUGCCUUAUGUUAUACCACCACCACCACCCGCCCCACCAGUGUGCCUGCCUCCUCAUGCUGCAAUGAAGGGGCAUGAUUUGUACUUCUCAGGGCAACAUGGUGCACCAAGAGGUCCUGGCAUGGGGAGUGUCAGGGGGCCCUGGUCUUAUUAUGGCCAGCCACUAGUGGAGGGAACACUUGAUCACGGGUCUUACAUGAUGCCUCCCAUGCCAGCACUCUUCCAAGGCACACCAUACUCCUAUUAUCCAUCUCACUAUGUUCUACCUGUUCCUCAACAUCACAUGCACCAAAGACAGACUGUACCAAGAAGUAAGAUUAUCUCCAUUGAGGAUGUCACCCAUACUGAUACAGAAAUGGAAAGUAAUACUGAGUCAAGUGAUGACAACAUUUCUGUAUCAGUGGAUAAGAAGCUACAGUGUGAUGAAAAUCAAAACAAAACAAAUGAACCAAAUUGUUUAAAAGAUAAGGACUCAAGAGAUAAAAAGAAAAUGUCUCAAAAAAAUGUCAGUGAAAAGAAAGAUUUAACAGAGUCAACUCAUGAAAAAAAAAAUCUCUCUUCAGCAAAGCUUUCAAAUGCCACAUCUAAGGAGACAUCCAAGUCAGCCAGCACCAGGAAUAAAACUGUAUUGAGUGAUUGUGGAACUUAUAAAAAGAAAGAAGGAAAGAAAAAAAAUGAUAAUGUGAAACUCAAAGUUUUUACAACUAGGGACAAGGCAAGAAAUUUAUAUGGCUUUGGUUUGUAUGAAGAGACAGAUGAGAAAGACAAAAUAUCUGCCUCUGAUGAGUCCCAGACCACAGAGAAAAUGAAGGAGUAUUUAAAAUUGAAGGAGGACAGAACACGCCAGGUGCAGGUUAAAGGAGUCAUCACAGAGGUUCACUGCAGAAUGGGCAAGCUACGGCUACAGAGUGGCAAGGAGUACUACUUCUCCCCUGACCUGUGCUUUUUGUAUGGUGUUAGUCUGGCUGACUUGGAACUCUGGCACGUCUUGAUUGAAGGACAGCAAGUGAAAGUCACACUAAAUGACAUCAACUCAGAGCUCCCCAAAGUUACUCGGGUCACAGUGGAAGAGGAGGACCCUGAUUCUGAUCCAGAUGCCACGACCCUCAACAUCCAGCAGUGGUGCUCAGGCAAUUGUGUCCCAGAGGAAGCUACUAUGAAACUGACUUUGUUACCAGUGUCCCACAAAACACUGGAGACAUCUUAUGGCCAGACCUCACAACAGGAAGACAAAAACACAUUCUAUCAAUGAUGUGAAAGGUUGAGUGCCUUACCAGGACAUUUUGUGUCACCAGAUCACAGCUGUCUUUCAUAACCAUUGUUCAGCAGGUGAAGGGCCUUCAGUGAUGUCUGGAGUGAACCUCCAAGGUGAUGGUGUUGGUGGUGCAUACCAGGAUGGAUUAGGAAGUAGUGUUGUGGUGAAUAUUGUUUCUACUUUGGUUUUUCUCUGUUGGAGUUGUCGUUCUGAAGGCCUGACAAAGGAACAAUUAUGAAUCACCUGUACCAUCAAAGAUGCUUGUUUUGAUUAUCACUAUUUAUGCAUGUUAUUGCUACUCUUAUUGCAUCGAUAUAUAUUUUUUCUCAAUUUUUGUCACUAAAGCAUGUUCACAUUUGUAUCUCAGGAAAAUGAGGUAUACGGUAUAUAAAACUGUUUGACGAAGUAUGAUUAUGUAACUGGAUUUAGCUGGCUUAUAAUUUUUAGUUUCACUUACGUCAGCCAGUCUUUUCUCCUUUGAAAGUUUUUACAUGUCAUGUGCCAAGAGCACCAAAAAGAGUAAUAAAAAAGCCCACUUGCAAUGUGGCUCCCCCACAAAAGAAAAAAAAAACAGGAGGAGAACUGAGCAAGUCCACCAAUUUAAUUUUUGAGGUGUUUUGAUACUCAUUUGAAAAAGGUCAAGUUGUAGGCAGGAGGAAAUACAGAAACAGGAGCAGAGUUCCAGAAUUUAGCAGUACAAGGGAUAAAUGAGAGUAGAAAGUCUUGUAUGGCAAGACUGCAGGAUGGAGGAAGAUGUACAGUUAGCAGGUGCAAAAGAGUCGUAACCAUGGAAAUAACAGUAUUAGAUAGUAAGAUACAACAUUGUGGCAGUGAUUGGGAAAAUCAAGGCAGUCUGUUUGAGAAGUUGAAAUAACGAAAUUGAGAGCUUUUUACUCCAUUUGAUUUAGGAGUGAUAUUGUAUUAAGGAUAACAGUAUAACAAUAAGCAGGAUGAUUAAUACACAGGAAUAUGUAAGAAAAAGCCAGCCCACUCCAGGGAUUUAUCAAGAUGGCAUACAUGUGUAUAAUUUCAGUGUGAUAAGACACAAUAGUGGUGCUGGCUUUGGAAGAUGAAUGCAAAUCAGACUUCAUUGCCCAUAAAGAAACAGAUGACUAUCAAGGUUUUCUGCUCAGGUGUACAGUAUAUUUGGAGUGCACAGCUUAUUACAUAUUUUUUAGUAAAACAUGUACAAAUUUGCAUUUUUACAAUAAAGUGAAAGCUUAACAAUUA